CUGCGUGGAAGGGCCAUCGCUCAACGGAUAAAAGCUCCCCUGGGGAUAACAGGCUUAUCUCCCCGAAGAGGCCACAUCGACGGGGAGGUUUGGCACCUCGAUGUCGGCUCAUCACAUCCUGGGGCUGUAGGAGGUCCCAAGGGUUGGGCUGUUCGCCCAUUAAAGGGGUACGCGAGCUGGGUUCAGAACGUCGUGAGACAGUUCGGUCCCUAUCCGUCGCAGGCGUAGGAAAUUUGAGAAGACCUGUCCUUAGUACGAGAGGACCGGGAUGGACGUACCUCUGGUGUACCAGUUGUCCUGCCAAGGGCAUGGCUGGGUAGCUAUGUACGGAAUGGAUAAGCGCUGAAAGCAUCUAAGCGCGAAGCCAACUUCAAGAUAAGAUUUCCCACCGCAAGGGUAAGACCCCAGAAAGACUAUCUGGUUGAUAGGUCGAAGGUGUAAGUGCAGCAAUGUA
Molecule: ribosomal RNA, 454 nt
Filed under: Clostridioides difficile
Lineage: Bacteria; Bacillati; Bacillota; Clostridia; Peptostreptococcales; Peptostreptococcaceae
Description: bacterial LSU rRNA
Rfam family: Bacterial large subunit ribosomal RNA
Source: RNAcentral